RNAcentral lists this long non-coding RNA (2692 nucleotides) under Helianthus annuus (common sunflower). RNAcentral's name for it is "hypothetical non coding rna". The record is from RNAcentral. Lineage: Eukaryota; Viridiplantae; Streptophyta; Magnoliopsida; Asterales; Asteraceae.
GAAAGGGGAAAGGCAGGGGAAAGCAUUUCUCUCAAAACCUAGCAAGGAAAAUCUUCAAUCAAGAGGCCUAGGGAUCGAAAUUGCUAUGCAUGAAUUAGGAAUCAUAACCUCCUAAGUAUUCUCAUCAACAAGUAAGUCGAAUUUUGUGGUAUAAUGAUUUUGAUGAAACGGGUUGUGUGUAAUCCGUAAAUGUUUAUUGAAAUUGAGUAGGAAUUCUAGAUAAUAUGAAUAUAUAGUAGUUAUAAUAUGCUUAAUUUCAAUUAUGUUGAUGUUUUGGGGGAAAACCCAUUUGUAGAAGUAGUAGAAUGAAGAUGAUGAUGAUUACAUAUGUUUUGUUUUAUGAAAUUUUGGAUGGAUGAUGUUAGAUGUUGUAGGAUGUUUUUGAAUGAACCUAAUUAGAAUAAAAGUUAUGGGAUAUUUGUGGAAUCAAUGAUUUUGAUAUGAAAUAGUAAGAUUAUGCACAUGAUACUUGUACUUUAUGCUUUGUAAAAAGUGCGCACACAACAUGUUCGAUGAAAUGCCUAGGCUGAUUAAGUUAUCUUUUUAGCAUGAAAUUCUUGUUGAAUUGAUGAAUUAGUAUGAAAAUGAAAUUUGUAUGCGAAUAAUUAAUGUGGAAUUAUGUUGGAAUGAAAGGAUGCGAUUCUAGUUUAUAUGUUGUGUUGUUGGAAAUUGACGUACUAGUAAAGUUAAAAUAGGAUACGAGUGUGACAUGAAUGCAAUAUUAGAAUGUGCGUUAUACUAAUGAAGUAUGUAACCUUGAUGGUAUGAAAGUAUAGAAUCAUGUUUAGAUGGGAAAGCAUAGAAGGCAAACGGAAAGGAUAUGAGGAAGCAUGUACGAAACGGGCACUCGAGGUAAGUGAUUUCCGUAAUCACUUCUUAUUUUGUUUAAGUAAGGUAGCGUUAGUUUAUCGAGCAUGAUGAUGAUUGAGGUUUGAUAUGGUUUUGGUUGUAUGAAAUCGGUACCUUUUACUACGUAGACCGAACGGGUCAAAACAAGGUAGUAUGGAUAUGUCGGAAUAAUGCUUAAGUAAUGGCUACGGUUUUGUAACCGGGUAAUGGGUAGAAUUUCAUAUAAGAAUGUUAAUCGAGAAAUGGAAACGCUAAUGUAGACAAAAGACUCGGUUGUGAGUACUUGAAUGUGUUUGGAGUCGUGUUGAUUUAAAUAGUCUUAUUGUUGACCCGAAGUUCUUUUUAUCGUUAAGGUGGUUUGAUACAAAUUAUUGAAUAUGGUUCAACUUAACAAUAGCGUAUUAUCUUGACGAUGUUUUGGGGGUUUAAACCCAUCAAAAAAGAGUGCAAAUUGUUAAUGGGUCGAGAUACCCAAGUGCUGAAAAUUCAGCUUAUUUCCAGAUUUUUGCUAGUCUUUAAAAAUUCAUAGAAAAUCAACCGAAUGUCCGUUCAGGGCGUAUUUUAUAUCCACGGAAAGGUCUCGGAGUCACCGUUACUAAUAAUUUUAGGUUGAAGUGAAAUACUCACUGUAAAGAGGGGAAAGUACUGAACUACUACAGCUGCGUAAAGCUGAGUGAAAAAUAUAAAUUUUAUAGUACUUGCAUAAUCUUAAGGAAUUUAUAAGGAACCAAUAGGAUGUGAUUAUGUUGUUGUUUUAAAACUCAAUGUAGUUAUAUAUAUUUACAUGAGUUAAAGUGAGUGAUUCCUUGAAUAUGGGAUGCGUAUGCUAAAUUAAAAAAAAAAUCAUGGGUGUUGUAACCUGUAUAUGCAAAAACAUGUGUUCAUUUGGUAUUGCUUAUGAACAAGUGACACUUGUGUCGUUAAAACUAUAUAACCUAUUUGAGUAUGUUAUGAAUACAUGUACGAAUUACUAAGAGUAUGUUAGGUAAUAAUGAUUGUUGAUAGUCGUAUAUGUUUUCUAAUGAAUUUACAACAUAGUUAUGCGGCGGUUUACCAUUUUAUUUAUAUUGACCGAAUCGGUUUGAUAAUGGUUUACUUUGAAGUGUCCUUGAUUCUAUAUUAGCAUGGAUAUACAUGAGAUAUGGAUAAAAAGGGGGCGCCCAGAUUAGAAUAGAGAAAGUCACGAAAUGUGUGAUUGGAGAUAAUGAAGUGGUGGCUCGACAUUGUUUCGUUGGGUGUUAUGAGCACUGAAUACUCCAUUAUGUUUGAUACAAAAUCAUAUUAUGAGUAUUCACUUAGCAAAAGCUAAUUAUUUUUGGUGUUUUCAAUGUAGGUAAUAAGUCAUGAGAAUCAACGGGGUGGCUUGAAUCGGAAUCAUGAAAUAAGAAAAGAGCUCACAAGUCGUUCACCAAUAACCCGGUUCAAUCAAUAUAUUAGUAAUUAUUAUGCUUACCGUAGUUUCCCGGUCGACACUAACGAUAUGGUAAUGUUAUAUGACAGAUUGGGGUGGUAGAAAGGCGAAAGUGAUUAAGUCUUGGAAGCGGGUCAACGAUAUGAGGAUUUAGUGAUAUUUUGUUCACUAAGUAUAUGGGUUUCCUUAUUGGGACAAUUAGACUGAAUUAUUUGUAUUUUGGAGUUUAAGUCCAACGUUUGUUUUAGAAAUAUGCUAGUAUAUCAAUAUGGUAAUGAGUUAUGUUUGUUUAAAUAAAAGAGAACUUUGGUUGUUAAGCAGGUUUUGUUUUCAUAAGGAUUGGUCGUUUUGCAAAUAGGUCAUGGCGAAAUUUUUCUAAAUAUUUGUUUGUAAAUGUCUUAUUAAUCUGGUGACGUGGAUUCAUAUAUUUGG